RNAcentral lists this ribosomal RNA (497 nucleotides) under uncultured bacterium. Its description in RNAcentral is "partial 16S ribosomal RNA". It matches the Rfam family "Bacterial small subunit ribosomal RNA", at positions 28 to 507 of the family's 1533-position model. The record is from RNAcentral.
GAUGAACGCUGGCGGCGUGCCUAAUACAUGCAAGUCGAGCGAACGGACGAGAAGCUUGCUUCUCUGACGUUAGCGGCGGACGGGUGAGUAACACGUGGAUAACCUACCUAUAAUACUGGGAUAACUUCGGGAAACCGGAGCUAAUACCGGAUAAUAUCUUGAACCGCAUGGUUCAAUAGUGAAAGACGGUCUUGCUGUCACUUAUAGAUGCAUCCGCGCUGCAUUAGCUAGUUGGUAAGGUAACGGCUUACCAAGGCAACGAUGCAUAGCCGACCUGAGAGGGUGAUCGGCCACACUGGAACUGAGACACGCUCCAUACUCCCACGGGAAGCAGCAGUAGGGAAACGUCCGGAAGGGGCGGAAACCUGACGGAGCAACGCCGCGUGAGUGAUGAAGGUCUUCGGAUCGUAAAACUCUGUUAUUAGGGAAGAAAAUAUGUUUAAGUAACAGUGCACAUCUUGACGGUACCUAAUCAGAAAGCCACGGCUAACUACGUG